This 257-nucleotide ribosomal RNA is filed under the name uncultured bacterium. Its description in RNAcentral is "partial 16S ribosomal RNA". It matches the Rfam family "Bacterial small subunit ribosomal RNA", at positions 524 to 776 of the family's 1533-position model. The record is from RNAcentral.
UACGUAGGUGGCAAGCGUUGUCCGGAAUUAUUGGGCGUAAAGCGCGCGCAGGCGGUCCUUUAAGUCUGAUGUGAAAGCCCCACGGCUCAACCGUGGAGGGUCAUUGGAAACUGGGGGGGACUUGAGUGCAGGAGAGAAGAGUGGAAUUCCACGUGUAGCGGUGAAAUGCGUAGAGAUGUGGAGGAACACCAGUGGCGAAGGCGACUCUUUGGCCUGUAACUGACGCUGAGGCGCGAAAAGCGUGGGGAGCAAACAGG